RNAcentral lists this ribosomal RNA (94 nucleotides) under Staphylococcus aureus. The record is from RNAcentral. Lineage: Bacteria; Bacillati; Bacillota; Bacilli; Caryophanales; Staphylococcaceae.
UAGCAAGAAGGUCACACCUGUUCCCAUGCCGAACACAGAAGUUAAGCUCCUUAGCGUCGAUGGUAGUCGAACUUACGUUCCGCUAGAGUAGAAC